Molecule: long non-coding RNA, 5223 nt
Organism: Onychostoma macrolepis
Lineage: Eukaryota; Metazoa; Chordata; Actinopteri; Cypriniformes; Cyprinidae
Exons: 3
Source: RefSeq, a predicted model, not a curated record
GCUAUAUGGCUAGUAUAGCAAAACCAUGUUAAUGUGUGGUUGCUUUAGUUUUACUUUAGUUAUUUAUUUGUAGUAAACCCAUGUUUAAUUUUCAUAAAGGUGCAUAUGUAAUUAAAACAUUAUGUAAUUGAGUGCAGAAAUGAACGCGAGUAAUUUUACCUGACGCAGAUAUUACAAUAGCCAGUCUGAAUGGUUUACGUGAUCUGACUCUUGAUUUUAUUAUUGUUUUUAAUUUAUUUACUUAAUUUUUCCUUGCCGGGAGGCAAAUAUAUCAAACGUGCGUGCGGUAAGAGCGUCUAUGGUAAUUCACGUUGGCCAAAACACACAAGGAAACGCGUUAUGAAAAAAUAAUCUCACCGACAAUCACAGACAUUGCAUUCGGACGGGAUUAGUUUUCUCAGAGGAUCGCUGAGUUUGCUGAAAAACUGUAGGUAAUUUGCUCUGGAAUUGUUACAGAGGUUGUGUAAGAAAAACACAGACAUGGCAGAUUCGGACGGGAUUAAAAUCACCAAGUACGUCUGUGAAACACACAUUUCUCUAACGACCCCCUGUAAAACUAGUCCCGUCCAAAUAGGGCUAUUGACAGUAGGAACACUAUAACGUAUACAGGGACGAGACGGAGCAAGCACAGUUUAAUUUGAAACACCAAAACAUAAUCCAAACUUGAAACAACCAUAGACAAACCACAGACAGGAACCAGGAGAGCAAUCAGAAGACAAAACACAUACAGAAAACAAUAACUGACAAAACACAACUGAAACACAGGAGUAUAUAUACAUAAGUUAAUCAGGGAUGAUGAGGGACAGGUGUAGGUGAUAAGUUGGCAUGAUAAAUAAUAAGGGUUGCUAUGGUAACUGUCACGGAAACACCAGGCUCUUCCACCAAUCAACGAUCCCAAUCACCGGAGUUCUGAUCACACGCACCUGACCGUCAUUCACUAAUCACCAGCACCACAGUAUAAGAGCACACAGUUCACACAAGCACAUUGUCUGGUCUCCAUUGUGGAUAAGGACUCAGCUCGUAUGCUAAGCUACUUUUCUGAAUUCCAGUCUCCCAAUUUCCUUCGUCUUCUCCUUGUGUUCCUGUGUGUGUGCGCUCCGAUUACUUACCUGCAUCAAAUCCCAGUUAUCAGCUCCUGGAAAAACCCUUCCGUCAUUCCACGCUCACCACAACCUGGUAACAGAUAUUACCUUCCUCAGUAUCCUUGCCCAUCUCAUCAUAGACUCUAUUUCUGCCAUAACUCACCUGCUUCUGCUACCCUUUACCAUCUGUACAAUAAAUCCGUCUGUUUGAUUCCAACCUGUCUGUGUCUUGAGUCUGACUACACGUUACAGAAGACCAGACCAAACCACCAUGAAUCAGACAGAUGUGGACCCAUUCCAGGAGCUGGUGCAUUCACUUCGCCAUGUGCUCAUGCCUCCUGUCACCAUCACACCAACACCCGAACUGGUUUCCUCACCAGCCGCUUCUUCACCCGGACCGAUCUAUCCUGCCAGUCCCAUGGUCAAUCCAGCACCCUACUCUGGUUCGGCGGACAAUUGCAACUGGUUUCUCCUGCAGUGUUCACUCGCCCUUGAGAUGCAACCGGAUCGCUUCCCAACUGAGAGGGCUUAAGUCUCAUUUAUUCUGUCGUUAACAGGUCGAGCGCUCCAGUGGGCAGAAUCAUUGUGGCAGCAGAAUGGACCGGUCACUCAAACCUUGAAUGCCUUCCUUACUCACUUCUGUGACGAUUUUGGUCGGCCAGUAGGAAAUGCUUCAGUCGGUGAGCAACUGUAUCAUCUAAAGCAAGACAAACCCUCCGUGCAAGAUUAUUCUCUCCGUUUCCACACUCUAGCAGCCUCAAGUGGUUGGAACGAGCGCUCCCUGUUAACGACCUAUCGCCAAGGACUAGAGCCCUCUCUGCGGUUGCAUCUCUCUGCUUAUGAUGACACCAUGGGGCUCGAGCGUUUUAUCCAACUCUCCCUCUGGGUGGCUAAUUGGGUUCACGGCUGUAUGGAGGAACAUCGAUGUUUCCAACAAUCCACCAGUUUCAUUCCGCCAACUAGAGUUUCCGAGAACCACCUGGUGAACCCAUGCAAGUCAACAACACCUGCCUGUCCUCGGUCGAACAUCAACGUCGGCUGACCCAGGGAUUAUGUCUAUACUGUGGCCAGAGUGAACAUGUAAUACGGACCUGUCCCGUCCGUCCCCCACGUCCCGUGUCCAUGCCCUCCUCGACUCUGGGUCAGCCAGCAACUUCAUCUCUGCCGACUUAUGCCACCACCUACAGCUCAAGAAAAGACUCAGUGACAUCCCGUACAAAAUCCAAUCAAUAACUGGAAGUCCCCUCGGCCGAGGAAAGGUCCAACACUGUGUGGGUCCCAUUCAGCUGCGGAUCGGCCAGUUACACUCAGAAAACAUCUGCCUGUUGGUUCUGGAGGAAUCCACUGCUGAGAUUGUCCUAGGGUGCCCCUGGCUCAUUUCCCACAAGCCCUCCAUCUCAUGGUCAACGGGAGAAGUCCUGAAGUGGGGAAAGGAAUGCUUUCCUAGAUGUUCCUUAAGUCUUCCAAGACCCGUCUCGUCGGUUCCAACGAUCCCCUUGAGAACCAUUCCAUAGACAUCCCGCAGGAAUAUACCCACUUCAGUGACGUUUUCUGCCCAAAACAAGCCUCCAAGUUACCAUCUCACAAACCAUGGCUUUAACUGAAAAUUGAGUGUUUAAUCUUGUCAUUAUACUUUACUGACACUCUAUCCUCCAAUUUGAUACUGUUAAGUGCUUUGACACAAUCUGUAUUGUUAAAAGCGCUAUAUAAAUAAAGGUGACUUGAUUUGACUUGACCAUGGGACUGUGCAAUCGAUAUCCUACCCGAUGAACCAGUGCCCAGAGGUAAAAUCUACUCCCUUUCCAUCCCUGACAGAAGGCCAUGGAGGAGUACAUUAAGGAAGCAUUACAGCAAGGCUACAUCCGUCCGUCUACAUCCCCUGCUGCUUCUAGCUUUUUCUUCAUGGCCAAGAAGGACGGAGGCUUGCGGCCUUGCAUAGAUUACUGGGCUCUUAACAAGAUCACUGUCAAGUACAGGUAUCCACUUCCCCUCGUCCCAUCUGCACUAGAACAACUCCGCGGAGCCAGGAUCUUCACCAAGCUGGACCUCAGAAGUGCGUAUAACCUCAUCCGGAUAUGAGAGGAGGACAAAUGGAAGACUGCCUGUGUGACACCUACUGGCCAUUAUGAAUAUCUCGUCAUGCCAUAUGGAUUAGACAACGCCCCCUCCGUAUUCCAGGGUUAUAUGAAUGAGGUAUUCCGGGAGUACCUACAUCGCUUCGUGCUGGUUUACAUUGACGACAUCCUUGUGUACUCCCAGAAUGAGUCCGAACAUCGCCUGCACGUCUCUGAGACUUCAAUUCAGUUCCUCGGAUAUUAGAUCAGCUCCCAAGGGAUCCAGAUGGACGAAGGGAAGGUUGAAGCCAUCAAGGCCUGGCCUAGAGCCACUAUCAAAGAACUCCAGCAAUUCCUAAGUUUGUCAAAUUUCUACAGACACUUCAUUCACAACUACAGUUCCAUCACUGCACCUUUGACCAACCUCCUGAAAGGCAAGCCAAAGUCUCUGUCCUGGACACCCGAAGCCACCUCCGCCAUGAAGACCCUCCAAAAAGCCUUCACGUCGGCUCCACUCCUGGUCCAUCCUGAUCCACAGAAGUCCUUCAUAGUCGAAGUAGAUGCCUCAACAUCAGGAGUUGGAGCUGUUCUGUCCCAGCAGUAGGGGAAUCCUCCACGACUCCAUCCGUGUGCCUUCUUCUCCCGGAAAUUAUCCUUGGUGGAGCAAAAUUAUGAUAUAGGGAUUAGAGAACUUCUUGCCAUCAAGCUAGCCCUUGAGGAAAGGAGACACUGACUGGAGGAAGAUCCAGGAGAUAGGUCGUUACCUCCGUACCUUCUGCUAUAGGCACCAGAACUCCUGGAACCGAUUCAUUGCCUGGGCCGAGUACGCAUAGAACUCUCUCUGUCAGCCAUCUACGGAUCUCACAUCUUCCAGUGCGUGCUCAGCCACCUCUGUUGCCCUGGUCUGGGGAACCUUCGGAGGUACCAUCACUCACUCAUUGGUUCCAGGAGAGUGUGAGGGUCUGGGCCUCAGCACAUCAACAUCUAUUGCGUGCAGUAAGACAUCACAAACACCAUGCGGAUGUCCGGAGAGCCUCUACUCCCACAUUCCACCCAGGACAGAAAGUGUGGCUCUCCACCAGAGACAGCCAACUGAGACUUCCCUGCAAAAAGCUGAGUCCCAGAUUCAUUGGUCCCUUCCCCAUCAUCCGUCAAGUCAAUCCAGUCACAGCCUGGUCCCGUAGACGAACCCCCUCUUCCGAUGGUGCUGGAGGAUGGAACGGGCUACUCCGUAAAGGAGAUUCUGAGUUCCCGACGUUGUGGGGGUAAAUUGGAUUAUCUGGUUGACUGGAAGGAUUAUGGCCCUGAGGAAAGGUCACGGGUCCCAAGAGAUGACAUGUUUGAUCCCAAUCUCCUGGUGGAGUUCCACGCUUCCCAUCCCCAAGAUCCAGCGCCACGUGGUCAAGGUCGUCCUCCACGACAUCGGGGUAUUCGGCCCUCAGGAGUGGACCGUGGAGAGGGGGGUUCUGUCACGGAAACACCAGGCUCUUCCACCAAUCAACGAUCCCAAUCACCGGAGUUCUGAUCACAUGCACCUGACCGUCAUUCACUAAUCACCAGCACCACAGUAUAAGAGCACACAGUUCACACAAGCACAUUGUCUGGUCUCCAUUGUGGAUAAGGACUCAACUCGUAUGCUAAGCUACUUUUCUGAAUUCCAGUCUCCCAAUCGCCUUCGUCUUCUCCUUGUGUUCCUGUGUGUGUGCUCCGAUUACUUGCCUGCAUCAAAUCCCUGUUAUCAGCUCCUGGAAAAACCCUUCCAUCAUUCCACGCUCUCCACAACCUGGUAACAGAUAUUACCUUCCUCAGUAUCCUUGCUCAUCUCAUCAUAGACUCUAUUUCUGCCAUAACUCACCUGCUUCUGCUACCCCUUACCAUCUGUAUAAUAAAUCCGUCUGUUUGAAUCCAACCUGUCUGUGUCUUGAGUCUGACUACACGUUACAGUAACAAGCAAGGCAAACUGGGACAGGAAGUGAAGAGGGAAACAAUAGGAACAGAAACACAUUACAUAACAUGAGUUUUAAAAUGCAAAAAAAGAGGGACAAAUAUUCAAGCAAUAAUCAAAAAUGUAAACCAAUAAAUAAUUC